UUGUAAAAUAUUUUGUUCUUUUCUGCCUAAUGGAAUACAUAAUCUUCUUUGCAGCUCAUAAACACCGAGCGUUUUUACUCUCUUCAAUCAAUGAAAUUAAACCCAUAGACAUUGAAAAAUCACGAUAUGUUAUAAUCCCAGUUUCAAUAGAAUAAAACCCAUACGCUUCAAGCAUCUUUCGAAUGGAUCCUUCAUAAUCCAGGUAAUGUUACAUGUUUGUGAGAAAUUCAUAUUACAAGAUAUCAAUUUGCACCCAUUGAGUGCUGACUAAUCAAUUAAGAUGACAUAACAUGGUCUUGGAGGAGUCUUUGAGUUAGAUGUGUGUUCGAUAGCCCGGGAACAAAUGAUGCAAAUGUUAAAGAAAGAGAAAUAUUUGUGGCAGUGCUUCUGGCAAAAUGCACGGUACUGUAGGGUUGGUGAAGCUUGAAGGAGGCUGAUCACCAUCUUCGUCCUUGAGAUCUCAGCCUUGCGGUAAUCAGCAUGGAUAUAUGAUCUCUAAAGAAGCAGUAGAGAAAAGAAAACUUGGUUGUACAAGAUGGAAGUAAUGCUCUUUCCUCUGUUCUUUUUUUCUCCAAAGGUGUACACUAUUUGCGGACCAUUAGAGCACGAAAAUCAUCAGGCGUUUUGGAGUCAUAUGGAGCAAAAGAAGAAGAAAUUGGCUUAUUACGAAGUAGAAGGAGAAAUCGGUCAUUGUAUGAGCAGGUGCUGUUAGGAGUCCAACUGUGGUUAAGGGGUAGCCAGUUUUAUUUCAAAGAGGGGAUGUUAAAGGCACCCAUGAAGUUACUCAGGACACCCAUUAUGUUGGUGGAUCUUAUUGCUGGGGUGUACCAAAUCCAACCACCUCAUAACCCUACAUGAGAGACGACUUUUCUCUCAUUCAUCAGAUUUCAGUUUCUCUGAAUCCAGAGAAGAAUCAGAUCGAAAAUUAAAGUGGGUUCUCGUCAAGUUUCGUUGCUACAAUUGUCCGAGAAGAAAGAUUUAAUGGGUAUGAGGCUAGGUUGAGUUGCAGACAGCCGAGAGAAUAAGAUUUGAGAAGAAGGGUUUUGAUUUGAAUCUGAGAAUGGGUUCGAUCUGUAAAGAUGCUGUUCUUGAGAUGAAUUCGAGAUAUUAGAUUGGUUAAUGGCAGAGAGAUGUUGUUGCUGAGUUGUUGGGUUGAUAGAAAAUCGAACUGGUGGUGAUUUGGGUGAAGGUAUCUUGAUUCAGUUGUAGAAAAAUGGAGUCUGGGUUCCAUUUGAUGUCGAUUUUCAUGGGUUGAUAUUUGAGAGAUUGAAUCAGAGAUGGAAUUUGAGGGUUUGGUGGUUGAAGUUGCUGUUGUUAGACAGAGAGAAGAUCGAUGUGUUGGUGGUGUUGUUGAGAGGCAAAGCAACCGAACUGAGAUGGGUUUUUUGUGAAAGAUUAAAACACUGAAGUGCAGAGAAGGAGAUGAGGAAGUGAUGAAAUUGAAGCCUCUGAUGUUUCUAAUGAUGCAGGAAAAUAGCUCAAAGUAGAACUCAGAAUAAUGGGUUCUCAAAACUGUGUUGAAUGAUAGAUGUAUGUUUAGGAAUUGUGUAGGGAUGUGAAGAAGAGAACGACCUGAAUUCGGCCUGAGUAAUGCCCAUAAAUAAACAAAACUCUGUCCGAUUUUCAUACUGACGAGUUAACUCAUACCGGCCGAUGACCGAGCCAACUCAGCUGAGUAAGACCAGUUAGCCGAGUAAGAUGCUGACUCGGUGGCUGACUCACUCUCUGCCUUGACCCGUUGACUGACGGUCUGACCAGAAAGACCGUUAACUUUAACAGAACGGUGACAGAGUAUUCCUCCGGCGGUGAAGAAUCUCAGGUGAUCGGCGGCGACAAUUCCGGUCAUAUACCGGCGAUGACGUCAGCAAUUCGACGACCAGUUUUGGACCCAAAAUUCCAGAGACAUAUUUCUCACACAUGGGCUUAGUGGACCACUUGGAGAUGGGUUUUGAGAAGACCUAAUUUUGGAAAGAGUAUCCUUUUGGAAUGAGAGAAGCAUAUAAAUAGAAAACUCUUUCUCUAAACCUAGAUAUCUCCAUUAGGGAGUCUUCUACUUUGUUAUAGGGUUUAGAAACAUGAUAGGUUUUCUCUUCCCUCUUGUUAUGAACUCCAUAAAUAUGAGCUAAUUUAUUUUAUUAUUGA
Long non-coding RNA from Papaver somniferum (opium poppy), 2142 nucleotides. RefSeq lists it as uncharacterized. The record is from RefSeq and is a predicted model, not a curated record. The transcript is spliced from 6 exons. Lineage: Eukaryota; Viridiplantae; Streptophyta; Magnoliopsida; Ranunculales; Papaveraceae.